UUGACUUGCGGCAGGCUAUAAUGCAGUCGAACGGUCUUUAGCAAUAGAGAUAGUGGCGCACGGGUGCGUAACGCGUAACCAACCUACCCGAAUCUGGGGGAUAGCCCGCCGAAAGGCGGAUUAAUACCGCAUAAGACCAUGGAGCGGCAUCGUUCAGUGGUUAAAGAUUUAUUGGAUUCGGAUGGGGUUGCGUGCCAUUAGCUAGUUGGCGAGGUAACGGCUCACCAAGGCGACGAUGGCUAGGGGAGCUGAGAGGCUGGUCCCCCACACGGGCACUGAGAUACGGGCCCGACUCCUACGGGAGGCAGCAGUAGGGAAUACUGGGCAAUGGUCGAGAGACUGACCCAGCCAUGCCGCGUGCAGGAUGAAGGCUUUCUGAGUCGUAAACUGCUUUUACCAGGGAAGAAAAAAGGGGAUGCGUCCUCUACUGACGGUACCUGGUGAAUAAGCACCGGCUAACUCCGUGCCAGCAGCCGCGGUAAUACGGAGGGUGCAAGCGUUGUCCGGAUUUAUUGGGUUUAAAGGGUGCGUAGGCGGCUUUUUAAGUCCGGGGUGAAAGCCCGUUGCUCAACAACGGAACUGCCCCGGAAACUGGAGAGCUUGAGUACAGACGAGGGUGGCGGAAUGGACGGUGUAGCGGUGAAAUGCAUAGAUACCGUCCAGAACCCCGAUUGCGAAGGCAGCUGCCUAGACUGUAACUGACGCUGAGGCACGAAAGCGUGGGGAGCGAACAGGAUUAGAUACCCUGGGUAGUCCACGCCGUAAACGAUGGAUACUCGCUGCGGGCGAUAGACGGUCCGUGGCUUAGCGAAAGCGUUAAGUAUCCCACCUGGGGAGUACGCUCGCAAGAGUGAAACUCAAAGAUUUGACGGGGGCCCGCACAAGUGGGUGGAAGACAUGGUGGUUUAAUUCGAUGAUUACGGGGAGGAACCUUAC
This 936-nucleotide ribosomal RNA is filed under the name uncultured bacterium. RNAcentral's name for it is "bacterial SSU rRNA". It matches the Rfam family "Bacterial small subunit ribosomal RNA", at positions 33 to 974 of the family's 1533-position model. The record is from RNAcentral.